RNAcentral lists this ribosomal RNA (383 nucleotides) under uncultured bacterium. Its description in RNAcentral is "bacterial SSU rRNA". It matches the Rfam family "Bacterial small subunit ribosomal RNA", at positions 376 to 774 of the family's 1533-position model. The record is from RNAcentral.
CGCAAGCCUGACGGAGCAACGCCGCGUGAGGGAUGAAGGCCUCUGGGCUGUAAACCUCUUUUCUCAAGGAAGAAGAUCUGACGGUACUUGAGGAAUAAGCCACGGCUAAUUCCGUGCCAGCAGCCGCGGUAAUACGGGAGUGGCAAGCGUUAUCCGGAAUUAUUGGGCGUAAAGCGUCCGCAGGCGGCCUUGAAAGUCUGUCGUUAAAGCGUGGAGCUUAACUCCAUUUCGGCGGUGGAAACUACAAGGCUUGAGUGUGGUAGGGGCAGAGGGAAUUCCCGGUGUAGCGGUGAAAUGCGUAGAUAUCGGGAAGAACACCAGUGGCGAAGGCGCUCUGCUGGGCCAUAACUGACGCUCAUGGACGAAAGCCAGGGGAGCGAAAG